UGCGCGGAAGAUGUAACGGGGCUAAGCCAGUUACCGAAGCUGCGGAUGCAUCCGCUCUUUUAAUGUGUUUAAUCGAGAUACUUCAUUGUGAGAGUUUUGAAUGCAAAUUCAAAACUCUCACUAACGUACUCCAAAAGGCUUGGACAGAUUUGUGUCCAAAAGGCUUGGACAGACAGGGUUCAUGGUACUUAAGGAGAAAUGAAUCUUAAACUGUAAGUUUAGGAAUUAUGAAAACUUUAAUGAAGUGAGAUUAAAAGUAGUUCUCUUAAACAGAAAGUUUAAGAGAACUACAUAAAUUAAUAAGCUUUUGAUAAAAAGCUUAUAAAGAUUAGACAUAUUAAGAGAGCGGAUGCGUGGUAGGAGAGCGUUCUGUAAGCCAGAGAAGGUGAAUCGAGAGGUUUGCUGGAGGUAUCAGAAGUGCGAAUGCUGACAUGAGUAGCGAUAAAGGGAGUGAAAAGCUCCCUCGCCGUAAGUCCAAGGAUUCCUGCGCAACGUUCAUCGGCGCAGGGUUAGUCGGCCCCUAAGGUGAGGCAGAGAUGCGUAGCUGAUGGGAAGUGGGUUAAUAUUCCUACACCGGCUUGUGAUGUGAAGGGGGGACGGAUUGCGGAAUGUGUACGGGCUGUUGGAUAUGCUCGGUAUUGUAGCCAAGAAGUUGAUUAGGCAAAUCCGGUCAAAGGAUUCAAGGCUAUGAUUCGCAGAAGACUUAAGGUCUUUGAAGUCACAGGAAGUGGUUCCAGGAAAAGCCUCUAAGCGAUAAAUUACAAGUUGACCGUACCGCAAACCGACACAGGUGGACGGGAUGAAUAUUCCAAGGCGCUUGAGAGAACUCAGGAGAAGGAACUCGGCAAAUUGAUACCGUAACUUCGGGAGAAGGUAUGCCUUUGUAUGGUGAGUAGCCAGAAGAGGCCGCAGAGAAUAGGUGGCUGCGACUGUUUAUUAAAAACAUAGCACUCUGCAAACACGAAAGUGG
RNAcentral lists this ribosomal RNA (970 nucleotides) under Taylorella asinigenitalis. RNAcentral's name for it is "bacterial LSU rRNA". It matches the Rfam family "Bacterial large subunit ribosomal RNA", at positions 1160 to 1840 of the family's 2925-position model. The record is from RNAcentral. Lineage: Bacteria; Pseudomonadati; Pseudomonadota; Betaproteobacteria; Burkholderiales; Alcaligenaceae.